RNAcentral lists this unclassified non-coding RNA (191 nucleotides) under uncultured Clavulina. Its description in RNAcentral is "sequence contains ITS1". The record is from RNAcentral. Lineage: Eukaryota; Fungi; Basidiomycota; Agaricomycetes; Cantharellales; Hydnaceae.
AUGAAUUGUAAUCGGAGCUGAUGCUGGCGGCUUGGCUGCAUGUGCUCGCUCUUAACAAUCUUUAUCCAAACACCUGUGCACAUUUAGAGAGGGUCUCCGAGUUCUCCUUGGAGUCCCUUCCUCUCAUUAUACACCCACAUACAAAGUUAUAGAAUGGAUAAUGUUAUAGCGUGUAAUAGCGCGAAUAUAUA